Molecule: ribosomal RNA, 442 nt
Filed under: uncultured Jeotgalicoccus sp.
Lineage: Bacteria; Bacillati; Bacillota; Bacilli; Caryophanales; Staphylococcaceae
Description: partial 16S ribosomal RNA
Source: RNAcentral
CACGUAGUUAGCCGUGGCUUUCUGGUUAAGUACCGUCAUCUCAAGGCCGGUUACUACCUCAAGUGUUCUUCCUUAACAACAGAGUUUUACGAGCCGAAACCCUUCAUCACUCACGCGGCGUUGCUCCGUCAGACUUGCGUCCAUUGCGGAAGAUUCCCUACUGCUGCCUCCCGUAGGAGUCUGGGCCGUGUCUCAGUCCCAGUGUGGCCGAUCCACCCUCUCAGAUCGGCUAUGCAUCGUCGCCUUGGUGAGCCACUAUCUCACCAACUAGCUAAUGCCACCGCAGGCCCAUCCAUGAGCGGCAGAUAAACUCCGACCUUUUUAACUACUGCUUAUGCAGGUAAACUCGUAUCCGGUAUUACGCUUACGUUCCGGUAGUUACUCCAAUCUACGAAGGGUUAGUCGCCUAGUGUUACUCACCCGUCGCCGCUCGACUCAGUGA